UAUAUUUUGAUCCAAAUUUUAUAUAUGUUCACAAGCUACUUUUACUGAAUUUCAUAUAUUCUACCUUUUCUGUAGCACACUAAGCUUAGAACGAAUUUCUCUUAGUGUCACAUAAAUAGCAAAUUAUGGAACUACACAAAGAGUAGCAACCUCUCCCUUAAACUCUUCAUCUUGCCGUGACUUUGGCUUGUAGCAUGCCUCUUGUUUUGGUUCAUGCAGUUUUGUGGAUUGGUUUUAUGGUUUUGAGGUUGUGGAUUAUGAUGCUGGUUCUGCUGCUACUUCAAGAGAAGAGAUGAAUGGACCUUACAAAUAUGAUCCUGCUCCGACUUCUUUGUUCUGAAAGCAAGCUACCAUGAUUUAAUUGAAGCUUUUGGUGGAAAAGGCCAUCUUGUUGGGACACCAGAUGAACUUAAGUCUGCUCUUUCAGCAUUCUUCUCGGCUUAGAAAUCGGCCAUUAUCAAUGUUAUUGUUGAUCCCUAUGCUAGUUCAGAGAGUAGGAGGCUGCAAUAACACAAAUUACAUAGCCUUAUGGUUUUCUAUGGUUUUCAUUUUUAGAUUUCAAAUUUCAAUAACACAAAUUAUAUAGCCUUAUAGUUUUCAUUUUUGUGAUUUUUUAAAGUGUACCAUGAUAUGAUACUAUAUUCUAUGAAUCCACAUAAAUGUAAAAUGUUACAUGAUCAUAAUAAAUACUUGAAUGAUGGAAACUGAAUUUUAUAUAUA
This is a non-coding RNA of Arachis ipaensis, 720 nucleotides long. NCBI's taxonomy places the organism in Eukaryota, Viridiplantae, Streptophyta, Magnoliopsida, Fabales, Fabaceae. The record is from RefSeq and is a predicted model, not a curated record.